Molecule: long non-coding RNA, 396 nt
Organism: Tarenaya hassleriana
Lineage: Eukaryota; Viridiplantae; Streptophyta; Magnoliopsida; Brassicales; Cleomaceae
Exons: 2
Source: RefSeq, a predicted model, not a curated record
AUGGCAGGAGGAGCGAUUUCCAAUUUCGUGAGGGCAAUCCGUACCCGCUCAACGGACAUCGGGGCCGCCGCUGGUUGGGGCGUCGCCGCCGGCGCCACCGCCAUAUGGCUCGUCCAACCAUUUGAUUGGAUAAAGAAGACGUUCUUCGAGAAGCCAGAGCCAGAGGGUAACUGAGGGAAGGCACGGCAGGAGCAAAGAAGUUUUUCGGGUUUUUUGCAUCUUUUCUUGGGGAUGUCAAAGACACGCAUGAACCCAGAUGAAUAAUGAAUUUUGUUUUUCUCCUCACUUUGUGAUUGUGGUUUCAUUUCAUUACCAACGCAGACAUCUCUUCUCAAUGUUAUGAGCCAAAACAGAUUUGCAAAUUCUCUAUGAAGAAUGCGACCCAUUUGCAUUACA